This 87-nucleotide microRNA precursor is filed under the name Ornithorhynchus anatinus (platypus). Its description in RNAcentral is "mir-1419 microRNA precursor family". It matches the Rfam family "mir-1419 microRNA precursor family". Lineage: Eukaryota; Metazoa; Chordata; Mammalia; Monotremata; Ornithorhynchidae. The record is from Rfam by way of RNAcentral.
UGAUGGUGUCACACACAAUGCUGGGAGACGUUACCACGUGCUACCUCAUUCCGUGAUAUCAUCACCCAGCACCGCACGGGUCCGUUG